RNAcentral lists this ribosomal RNA (180 nucleotides) under uncultured bacterium. RNAcentral's name for it is "partial 16S ribosomal RNA". It matches the Rfam family "Bacterial small subunit ribosomal RNA", at positions 1307 to 1500 of the family's 1533-position model. The record is from RNAcentral.
GAAACUCGCCUACAUGAAGCUGGAAUUGCUAGUAAUCACAGGUCAGCAUACUGUGGUGAAUACGUUCCCGGGCCUUGUACACACCGCCCGUCACACCAUGAGAGUUGAGAAUACCCGAAGCCCAUGUCAAAGUGGUCGAAGGUAGGCUUGAUGAUUGGGGUGAAGUCGUAACAAGGUAGC